This 270-nucleotide ribosomal RNA is filed under the name uncultured archaeon. RNAcentral's name for it is "partial 16S ribosomal RNA". It matches the Rfam family "Archaeal small subunit ribosomal RNA", at positions 477 to 747 of the family's 1478-position model. The record is from RNAcentral.
CAGCACCUCAAGUGGUCAGGAUGAUUAUUGGGCCUAAAGCAUCCGUAGCCGGCUCUGUAAGUUUUCGGUUAAAUCUGUAUGCUCAACAUACAGGCUGCCGGGAAUACUGCAGAGCUAGGGAGUGGGAGAGGUAGACGGUACUCGGUAGGAAGGGGUAAAAUCCUUUGAUCUAUUGAUGACCACCUGUGGCGAAGGCGGUCUACCAGAACACGUCCGACGGUGAGGGAUGAAAGCUGGGGGAGCAAACCGGAUUAGAUACCCCCGUAGUCC